GGAUCACUAGGUCAGGAGUUGGAGACCAACCUGACCAACAUGGUGAAACUCUGUCUCUACUAAAAAUACAAAAAUUAGCUGGGCGUGGUGUCGCGUGCUUGUAAUCCCAGCUACUCCGGAGGCUGAGGCAGGAGAAUCGCUUCAAUCUGGGAGGGGGAGAUUGCAGUGAACCGAGAUUGUGCCAUUGCACUCCAGCCUGGGCAAAAGAGCAAGACUCCAUUUCAAAAAAAAAUCUUAAAAAUACGAAGUUUUUCAUUUUUCUUAAAUUUUCAUUGUGACUACUUUAGUAGACUUGCCAGUAAUAAGCCAGUUACCGCUUGAAUCUCAGUUUCUUUAUCUGGAAAGUGGUCAUUAUUUAUCUGCUGUCCCCUUACCUAGAGGGAAUCAAAUGCGUUUGAUACAGGUUAACAUUUAAAAUGCUUUCAAAUUGGGCAUGAGCCACCACACCUGGCCUAAAGUAGCUUUUAAUUAUGGAGAAUGUGGCAGAACUCACUUUUAGUAACAGCUUUAUUCAAUGUAAUUUGUAUACCAUAAAAUUUACACUUUUAAAGUAUACAGUUUGGACCGUGUGCAGUGGCUCACUCCUGUAAUCCCAGCACUUUGGGAUGCCAAGGCAAGAGGAUCACUUAAGCCCAGGAAUUCAAGACCAGCCUAAGUAACAUAGUGAGACCACGUCUCUACAAAAAAAAUUUUAAAAAUUAGCCAGGGGUGGUGGCAUGUACCUGUGGUCCCAGCUACUUGGGAGGCUGCAGUGGGAGGAUUGCUUAAGCCCUGGAGGUCAAGGCUGCAGUGAGCCAUUAUCUCACUACUGUACUCCAGCCUGGGUGACAGAGCAAGACCCUGUAUGAUUUGGUGGGGUUUAGUAUAUUCAGAGAUGUUCAACCAUCAUUAUUAUCUAAUUUCAGAACCUUUUUAUCACCCCCAAAGAAAAGUCCUUUAUAUAGGACUAACAAUUCCUUUUCAUUUAUCUUUUUAUUUAUUGAAGUGAAACAUCACUUAGAACAUGGUUCUCAGCUAAGGGACAGUCUUUUCAUCCCAAACCCUCAUCCCACCCCAGAGCAUUUGGCAGUGUCCAGAGACG
Molecule: long non-coding RNA, 1081 nt
Filed under: Homo sapiens (human)
Lineage: Eukaryota; Metazoa; Chordata; Mammalia; Primates; Hominidae
Description: HSALNT0189261
Source: RNAcentral